UACGUAGGGCGCAAGCGUUGUCCGGAAUUAUUGGGCGUAAAGAGCUCGUAGGCGGUUUGUCGCGUCUGUCGUGAAAGCCCACGGCUUAACUGUGGGUCUGCGGUGGAUACGGGCAGACUAGAGGCAGGUAAGGGAGAAUGGAAUUCCCGGUGUAGCGGUGAAAUGCGCAGAUAUCAGGAGGAACACCGGUGGCGAAGGCGGGUCUCUGGGCCGAUACUGACGCUGAGGAGCGAAAGCGUGGGGAGCGAACAGG
This 253-nucleotide ribosomal RNA is filed under the name uncultured bacterium. RNAcentral describes it as "partial 16S ribosomal RNA". It matches the Rfam family "Bacterial small subunit ribosomal RNA", at positions 524 to 776 of the family's 1533-position model. The record is from RNAcentral.